Molecule: long non-coding RNA, 1273 nt
Organism: Eupeodes corollae
Lineage: Eukaryota; Metazoa; Arthropoda; Insecta; Diptera; Syrphidae
Exons: 4
Source: RefSeq, a predicted model, not a curated record
GAAAAGAAUCCAUUUUUAUUAUAAGUUUUGUUUGUGCGGAAAGAGGAGCGUUUUUCAGUGUGUGUUCGACAGACGCCACAUUAUUAAUUGUAAAUUAUUUAUUUAUUAAGUGAAUUCCCAACAAAAAGUUUAUUAUUAAAAUUUAAAGUAAAUUAAUUAGCAGAAAACAAAUUAUAAAAAGUACAUAUUAUAUUUAAUCUCCAUGCAUGUGAAUAUUUCUAUAUAUAUGUACACAUGUAAUCAAAAUAAGUGUGCUAAAACAGAAGAAAAGAAAAAAAUCAAAUCAAAUCCAAUCCAAUAAAUGUAAAAGAGCCGAGCCUUUUUGAGCAUACGAUAACGAUACGAAGAAUAAUCUUUUCUGUUUCAAUUGAGUGAAAUUAAUUAAUUGAUUGAAAUCACAAUUAUUUUAAUUUGUAGAAAAAUCUAUAAAUAUCUUAAAGAAAAAAAACUUUCUCUGUUGUAAAAAAAAAAAUAAAUUUUACAUUUAUUACAUAAAGAAAAGAGACAGAGAUAGAUUAGAAAGAGCUUUUUUCCUCAAAUCGUAAUCAAGUGCGACAGAGAAAAAGGAAAAGCAAAACAAGGAAUUAAAGCUUAGAAAAUAAAAUCCCUGAAAAGUGUUUUCUUUUUUAAUGUGUUUUGUGCUUGUGCAGUGCAAAAUAACGGAUUCUUUUUCCAGUUUCAUCUGCAAUUUUAAUUCUUCAAGACGACGGGGGUUUUUCAAAAGCAUAAAGACUUGCCGUCAUACCAUUUGAAGGAACUUAAGAUGUCAUAUAUCAAACAAAACUACUAAGCUUGACAUUUCAAAACAACAUGAAUGAACUUCUCAAAUAAAAAGGGGGUGCCAAUUAACUGCAGCACGUAUGCAGAAGGACAUAUUGAAGCCUUAAGAAGCACUCUUGGAAAUAAACAAGGUUCCAUGAUCAACUUUAAUCGUUCAUAAACUCUUCUUUCUGUAAAUGCUUUCAAUCAAUCUGUGAAAACUACGAAAGGUCAAUAUUGAGUUCCUAACCUACCGAAAUUGUGAUUGUCUUAAUGAUGUGACUUAUUGACAAUUUUGGCCAAUUGUCAUGUCUUUCAGGGAUAAUAUAAUCACGUAUAUGAGUACCAUGGAAAUAACCUUAAGGUGUCCUGGAAUAGACUUGUGGUCGAACUCUAUAAACUGAAAUAUGUAUUUGUAUAUGUGGACUCACUUCUUGUACUGAAUAUUUUUUUAACAUAAAUAUAAAAGUAAUAAUUUUACUAAACAAAAAUAUAACUUAACAAAACAAAGUAU